Molecule: ribosomal RNA, 603 nt
Filed under: Kocuria sp. CMT225
Lineage: Bacteria; Bacillati; Actinomycetota; Actinomycetes; Micrococcales; Micrococcaceae
Description: bacterial SSU rRNA
Rfam family: Bacterial small subunit ribosomal RNA
Source: RNAcentral
GGCGACGACGGGUAGCCGGCCUGAGAGGGUGACCGGCCACACUGGGACUGAGACACGGCCCAGACUCCUACGGGAGGCAGCAGUGGGGAAUAUUGCACAAUGGGCGGAAGCCUGAUGCAGCGACGCCGCGUGAGGGAUGACGGCCUUCGGGUUGUAAACCUCUUUCAGCAGGGAAGAAGCCMCAAGUGACGGUACCUGCAGAAGAAGCGCCGGCUAACUACGUGCCAGCAGCCGCGGUAAUACGUAGGGCGCAAGCGUUGUCCGGAAUUAUUGGGCGUAAAGAGCUCGUAGGCGGUUUGUCGCGUCUGCUGUGAAAGCCCGGGGCUCAACCCCGGGUCUGCAGUGGGUACGGGCAGACUAGAGUGCAGUAGGGGAGACUGGAAUUCCUGGUGUAGCGGUGAAAUGCGCAGAUAUCAGGAGGAACACCGAUGGCGAAGGCAGGUCUCUGGGCUGUUACUGACGCUGAGGAGCGAAAGCAUGGGGAGCGAACAGGAUUAGAUACCCUGGUAGUCCAUGCCGUAAACGUUGGGCACUAGGUGUGGGGGACAUUCCACGUUCUCCGCGCCGUAGCUAACGCAUUAAGUGCCCCGCCUGGGGAGUACG